Molecule: non-coding RNA, 2380 nt
Organism: Callorhinus ursinus (northern fur seal)
Lineage: Eukaryota; Metazoa; Chordata; Mammalia; Carnivora; Otariidae
Source: RefSeq, a predicted model, not a curated record
GGCCCGCGGCGCCCGCUGGUUGUCAGGGUAACUGCGCCUGUGCCUCCGAAGAAAUUCUGUCCAGGCUUUGUACCCGAUUUACGGCGCAGUUGGCCGUGCCAUUCAACAGUGCGAGGGCCGGGAGUCGGCCCGGCCCUCGACUGGCUUUGUGGCCUCGGCCUUUGUGACCUGCAGGCUCUCAUCUCAACGGGGGACCAUGAUAAUAGCCGCUUCUUAAUAGUGUCUGGCGAGGACUGAGUUAAAAUGGGAUGACUGGACGUAGUAAGUGCUCGCAAAGUGCUCGCAUCACCGUCUCUCUUGAAAACGGUGGGAAAGCAGGAGAGAGAAAUGCCGGCUACUGGUUUGGUCUUCAGGGCGAGAGGCGGGACCCCAAGGGGCUAGGAAGCCGCCCCCACCUGGCGUCCACCCCAACCUGGGCUCGCGCGACGCGGCGGGGCGCGCAGCGGCGGACUCCUGGCCUUUGGGGACAAGGUCACGAGCGGGCGACAGAGGAGCUAGGACAUGGCCCGGUGGGCUCGGCCUGCUCUUUCCGCCUUCGGGCCCUGGGGCCCGGCAGGGUGGAGGAAUCUCUAUACUGAAGUCAGAGAUGUCCUGGGGGAGGGUCAUCAAGGGCCUUCUCCUGGAAGAAUGGACAUGGUGGCCACCAGUCUUUGGGGUGUGAAAAAGGCGCCCGGUGCAGUGGGGCUGGCAGUCCUGAACUCUGGCAUUACAGGUGGAAGAAGACCCGUAUCUUUUUCUGCUAGUGCCUCAAGCAUCUUUGGAAGAGGAGGCAACAGUAAGAAGGAGAAGCUUUUUCUGCAGGAUAUAGCAGAGCUGAUCCAAGCCAGAGCCUGCCGGAGGGUGGUGGUCAUGGUGGGGGCCGGCAUCAGCACGCCUAGCGGCAUUCCGGACUUCAGGUCUCCCAGGAGUGGCCUCUACAGCAGCCUGCAGCAGUACGACCUCCCCUACCCUGAGGCCAUUUUUGAGCUCACUUUCUUCUCUCACAACCCCAAGCCCUUUUUCACUUUGGCCAAGGAGCUGUACCUCAGGAGCUACAGGCCCAACGUCAUACACUACUUCCUCCGACUGCUUCACGACAAGGGGCUGCUGCUGCGGCUCUACACACAGAACAUCGACGGGCUCGAGAGAGUAUCUGGCAUCCCUGCCUCAAAGCUGGUGGAAGCUCAUGGAUCCUUUGCCUCUGCCACGUGCACUGUCUGCCGAAGGCCCUCUCCAGGGAAGGACAUUUGGGCCGACGUGGCAGUGGACAGGAUCCCCCGCUGCCCAGUCUGCACUGGCGUUGUGAAGCCUGACAUCGUCUUCUUUGGGGAGGCACUUCCCCAGAGAUUCCUGAUGCACGUGGUUGAUUUCCCCAUGGCAGAUCUGCUGCUCAUCCUCGGGACCUCCCUGGAGGUUUUUAUCCAUCUGAUUGGUUAGAAAUAAAUGUGUGUGUGAGAGAGAAAGAGAAAGAGAGGAGAAGGGGAUCUAACAUUUCUGUAAUAAAGAGUGAAGUUCACCUUUUCAUGUUUAUUAACAAUUGUGUUCUCUUUGGAUUACAUAUUUAUAUCUUGCUCAUUUUUCAUUGGGUUAUUUUCUUAGUCUAUUUAUAAAUUAGCAAUAUAAAUCCAUAAAUUAUAUAAAGUGCUUAUAAAUUAGCUUAGCAACUAGAAAUAUAAACUGAAACAUGUUGUAAAUAUGUUUGCAGUUUAUGGUAAUGAGGUUUAAAAAAUUAUUUUUUCUACGGCAUAUUUUUAUAGAUAAUAAUGUGAUAGCAUUAUGUAUUCAAACCUAGCAUGACUUUCCUUUGUCUUAUCUGACUUAUCAGGCCUAAAAAGUCCUUCCCUACCUUUACUUGUGAAACUUAAAUUUUCCUCAAGAACUGUUUUGUGUACAUUUGAAAUUUUUUCAGCGAAAGCAGGAAUUGAGUAUUUUCCUACCAGAUAAUGAGCCAGUCUCAGUACCAUUUAUUAAUCUAUUUCUUAUAUUAUUACUCCUGAAUGGAAAUUCCACUUGGGAGCUGGAUGAAGAAGCCCCAAGGCACCGAGUUAGGACUCCCUGGAGGUCUGGAUGGUGGAGCCUGUGGAGAGGUGGGGCCUCCACCCCUGUGGGCAGCCCAGGAGCCCUCUGUGCGCCCAGGCCCUUUCUCCCAGGGAGCGAGAGCAGACAGGCGAGAUGCUGCUGGGCGGGGAGACCUGCAGAAGCCAAGACGUGCAGGAAGCAGGAAGACGUGGACCAGAGGGAGGCUCAGGAAGGGAGGAACCCAGGCAUUGAAACCGAGCAGACCGCAUGACUGGAAGAAAUGAAAGAGCGGUAGAACCUUUUGCCAGCUUGUCUGAAGCCGUGCAGAGCUCAGUGCCCCGACUGCUCAUCAACCGGGACUUGGUGGGGCCCUUUGCUUGGC